RNAcentral lists this ribosomal RNA (1551 nucleotides) under Triticum aestivum (bread wheat). Its description in RNAcentral is "partial small subunit ribosomal RNA". The record is from RNAcentral. Lineage: Eukaryota; Viridiplantae; Streptophyta; Magnoliopsida; Poales; Poaceae.
AUGGCAGGUCUCCUCAUGCUAGAGAUGCUUCCACUGCCAUGGUUUCUGUUCCUCUUCCCGCUCUUCCUCUUGUUUGUGAAUUAUUGGUUCACUAUGACUGGUAAGACAGGAAGAAGGCAGCAGCACGAAAACCGCCACCAGCCUUCUCCACCGGGACUGCCCAUCAUUGGGCACCUGCACCUCCUCGGCUCCCUCCCGCACGUCUCCCUCCGCAGCCUCGCCAAGAAGCAUGGUCCUGACGUCAUGUUCCUCCGUCUUGGAGCCGUGCCGACACUUGUUGUGUCAUCCCCGCGUGCCGCAAAGGCGGUUCUGCGCACGCACGACCAUGUCUUCGCCUCGCGGCCCCGCUCCAUGGUCUCGGAAACCCUCAUGUAUGGCUCGUCCGACAUCGCCUUUGCACCAUAUGACGAGCACUGGCGCCAGGCGAGGAAGCUCGUCACCACUCACAUGUUGAGUUUAAAAAAGGUGCAAUCUUCCCGCAACGCCGCCAUGGAGGAGGUGAACAUGGUGAUGACCAAGAUUAACGAGGCCGCUGCAGGAGGUGUUGUAGUGGACAUGAGUAGGCUUCUGAAGUCAUUCACGUAUGAUAUGGCAUGUCGGAUCGUGUUGGGAGAGUCCUUCCGGAAAGAAGGACAGAGCAAGCUACUUCGAGACCUCAUAGACGAUACCUCACGAAUAUUAGGAGGUUUCAACUUGGAGGAGUACUUCCCAACAUUGGCAAGAGUUGGAGUGCUUAAGAGUCUGGUUUGUGCAAAGGCUGAGAGAGUGAGGCGUAGAUGGGCCUAUUUGCUGGAUAAGUUGAUCGAUGAACGUGUGAGCAUGGACAAGUCAACAGUUGAUAACAAGGAUGGAGAUUUCAUAGAUAUUUUGUUGUCUGUUCAGCAUGAGUAUGGUCUCACAAGAGAGCGAAUGAAAGCUCUCCUAACAGAUGUAUUUUUCGGUUCAACAGACACGUUAUCUAACACUCUCGAAUUCACCUUGGCCGAGUUGAUGAGGAAGCCAUGCCUAUUGGGGAAGCUACAAGAUGAAGUGAGGAGUAUCGUACCCCGGGGACAAGAAAGUAUAACCGAAACCGACAUAAACAAGAUGACGUACUUAAGAGCAGUCAUGAAGGAGUCACUCCGGGUGUAUCCUGUUGCGCCUAUCCUUGCUCCACACCUUGCCAUGGCUGACUGCAACAUUGAUGGGUAUAUGGUUGCUGCUGGCACACAUGUCUUAGUCAAUGUAUGGGCCAUUGGCAGGGACUCCAGCUCUUGGGGGGAUGCAGAAGAGUUCAUACCUGAAAGAUUUAUAUAUGAAGAUAGUGAUGUGGAUGUCAAUUUCAAGGGGAAUGAUUUCCAGUUCUUGCCAUUUGGGUCAGGACGAAGGAUGUGCCCUGGCAUAAACCUCGCGACUGCCAAUUUUGAGCUUAUGUUGGCAAACCUCAUGUACCAUUUUGAAUGGGAAUUGCCUCCAGGGAUUGAGACGAAAGACAUUAAUAUGACAGUGGUCUUUGGGCUAACCGUGCGGCGGAAGGAGAAGCUACUAUUAAUUCCAAAAUCAUACAAGUAG